RNAcentral lists this long non-coding RNA (224 nucleotides) under Gossypium barbadense (sea-island cotton). Its description in RNAcentral is "long non-coding RNA (GBAR_LNC004486)". Lineage: Eukaryota; Viridiplantae; Streptophyta; Magnoliopsida; Malvales; Malvaceae. The record is from RNAcentral.
UAAACCUUGUAAAUACUUACAAAUUAUAUUUCAAUAGGGUUAUACAGUUUGGGUGCUGGUCUUGGAUGUCCCACCGAUGGAUGAGGUCUUGCAUUUAUUACAGAUUCUCCACAGCUCGUGUAAGCAGCAUCGUGUAGCCCAAUUUUACCCUUUGUUAUAAAACCAUUUAAUCAUUAAACACUAGGCUAUUUAUGUCCACUCAAUAAUUCAAUGGUUUAUCAACC